AAAUUUUUUAGUCAAAAAUGAUAUUAAAUUGCAAAUUUAAAGGUAUUUAAAAAUAAAAAUUUAAUAAAA
This 69-nucleotide transfer RNA is filed under the name Mycopsylla gardenensis. RNAcentral describes it as "tRNA-Cys". Lineage: Eukaryota; Metazoa; Arthropoda; Insecta; Hemiptera; Carsidaridae. The record is from RNAcentral.